UACGAAGGGGGCUAGCGUUGCUCGGAAUCACUGGGCGUAAAGCGCACGUAGGCGGCUUCUCAAGUCAGGGGUGAAAUCCCGGAGCUCAACUCCAGAACUGCCUUUGAUACUGAGGGGCUCGAGUCCGGGAGAGGUGAGUGGAACUGCGAGUGUAGAGGUGAAAUUCGUAGAUAUUCGCAAGAACACCAGUGGCGAAGGCGGCUCACUGGCCCGGUACUGACGCUGAGGUGCGAAAGCGUGGGGAGCAAACAGG
Molecule: ribosomal RNA, 253 nt
Filed under: uncultured bacterium
Lineage: Bacteria
Description: partial 16S ribosomal RNA
Rfam family: Bacterial small subunit ribosomal RNA
Source: RNAcentral